This 433-nucleotide ribosomal RNA is filed under the name uncultured bacterium. RNAcentral's name for it is "partial 16S ribosomal RNA". It matches the Rfam family "Bacterial small subunit ribosomal RNA", at positions 29 to 507 of the family's 1533-position model. The record is from RNAcentral.
AACGAACGCUGGCGGCAUGCCUAACACAUGCAAGUCGAACGAGACCUUCGGGUCUAGUGGCGCACGGGUGCGUAACGCGUGGGAACCUGCCCUUAGGUUCGGAAUAACUCCCCGAAAGGGGUGCUAAUACCGGAUAAUGUCUUCGGACCAAAGAUUUAUCGCCUUUGGAUGGGCCCGCGUUGGAUUAGCUAGUUGGUAGGGUAAAAGCCUACCAAGGCGACGAUCCAUAGCUGGUCUGAGAGGAUGAUCAGCCACACUGGGACUGAGACACGGCCCAGACUCCUACGGGAGGCAGCAGUGGGGAAUAUUGGACAAUGGGCGAAAGCCUGAUCCAGCAAUGCCGCGUGAGUGAUGAAGGCCUUAGGAUUGUAAAGCUCUUUUACCCGAGAUGAUAAUGACAAUACCGGGAGAAUAAGCUCCGGCUAACUCCGUG